ACAAGGUUUCCGUAGGUGAACCUGCGGAAGGAUCAUUGAAUCGAUCGAAUCCACUCUGGUAACCAACCUUCCCCUCGCCCUGGUGCGAGCGUCGGUCCCCUGGCUGGGGUCUUCUGACCGCAGUUCAGGUCCGGCGGGCCUUGCUCCCAAGGGUGUCCCUUUCGGGCCCCAUGGGUUGCAGGGCCGGUAAUUAUAUUCAACUCAACCCACCCCAAACCUAAAUUAAAACUAAAGCUGUCUAGUGUGUGCAUUUCGGUGCCUCACUUUAACCAAAGACAACUCUCAACAACGGAUAUCUUGGCUCCCGUAUCGAUGAAGAACGCAGCGAAAUGCGAUACGUAGUGUGAAUUGCAGAAUUCCGUGAAUCAUCGAAUCUUUGAACGCAAAUUGCGCCCGAGGCUUCGGCCGAGGGCAUGUCUGCCUCAGCGUCGGCUUACACCCUCGCUCUCCCUCUCCUUUGGAGUGGGUAGAACGGAUCUGGCCUUCCCGGCUCCUCUUCGAUUCAUCGUUGAGUCCGGGUCGGCUGAAGUGUAGAGGCUUGAGCAUGGACCCCGUUUGCAGGGCAAUGACUUGGUAGGUAGCAUCGCUACAUAGCCUGUCGUUGUCCGAGGGGACUUUGCUGGCGGCCUAGCAGGAAUUUGAAGUGGUUCUACCACUUUGAAUGUCUCACACCUUCGACCUGAGCUCAGGCAAGACUACCCGCUGAACUUAAGCAUAUCAAUAAGCCG
RNAcentral lists this unclassified non-coding RNA (728 nucleotides) under Chlorella vulgaris. RNAcentral's name for it is "sequence contains 5.8S rRNA gene, ITS2, 28S rRNA gene". The stretch from base 278 to 431 matches the Rfam family "5.8S ribosomal RNA". Lineage: Eukaryota; Viridiplantae; Chlorophyta; Trebouxiophyceae; Chlorellales; Chlorellaceae. The record is from RNAcentral.